CUAGCCGUAAACGAUGGGUACUAGGUGUAGGGGGUUUAGACGCCCUCUGUGCCGCAGUUAACACAUUAAGUACCCCGCCUGGGGAGUACGGCCGCAAGGCUGAAACUCAAAGGAAUUGACGGGGGCCCGCACAAGCGGUGGAGCAUGUGGUUUAAUUCGAAGCAACGCGAAGAACCUUACCAAGGCUUGACAUAUAUCCGGCGGUUUAGGAAACUAAACUUUCUCUUCGGAGACGGAUAUACAGGUGG
This 248-nucleotide ribosomal RNA is filed under the name uncultured Dethiobacter sp. Its description in RNAcentral is "partial 16S ribosomal RNA". It matches the Rfam family "Bacterial small subunit ribosomal RNA", at positions 796 to 1041 of the family's 1533-position model. Lineage: Bacteria; Bacillati; Bacillota; Dethiobacteria; Dethiobacterales; Dethiobacteraceae. The record is from RNAcentral.